This 213-nucleotide unclassified non-coding RNA is filed under the name soil metagenome. RNAcentral's name for it is "partial contains 5.8S ribosomal RNA, internal transcribed spacer 2, and large subunit ribosomal RNA". The record is from RNAcentral.
AACAAGGCGUACCUGCGGACCUGCGGAAGGAUCAUUACCGAGUUUACAACUCCCAAACCCAUGUGAACAUACCUAUCGUUGCUUCGGCGGGAUCGCCCCGGGCGCCUCGUGUGCCCCGGAUCCGGCGCCCGCCUAGGAACCUUAACUCUUGUUUUAUUUUGGAAUCUUCUGAGUAGUUUUUACAAAUAAAUAAAAACUUUCAACAACGGAUCU